RNAcentral lists this long non-coding RNA (442 nucleotides) under Lathyrus oleraceus (garden pea). RNAcentral describes it as "Pisum sativum (pea) long non-coding RNA (PSAT_LNC026481)". Lineage: Eukaryota; Viridiplantae; Streptophyta; Magnoliopsida; Fabales; Fabaceae. The record is from RNAcentral.
AUCAUCCGAACCGCAAGAGAAAAAAGCAUGCGGUUCGGUUUGGUUCGGUUGACCUUUAGAAAUAAAACCAAACCAAACCAAACCAAAUCAAUGCGGUUUGGGUUGGUUCGGUUGGUUCGGUUUUUUAUAAUAUUUUUAUUGAGCCAUAUAUACUCCUAUAAAUAACGAUAUAACUUUGUGUUUAGUUAUUCCUAUAUUACUAAGUAACAUCAAAAUUCAUCAUAUUUAGACAAAAACGUUUCAUUCAAUAUACAAAAAAAACCAAAUUAGACAAAAGUGGAAUAAAAGACAAAUAUAAAUAGUAGCAUAAAAUAAUAACAAAGACAUUAUAAUAAAGCAUAAAAAAAACAUAUGAGAUGAGAGAUGAGAGAAGAUGAAAAAAAGAACAUAAGAGAUGCGAGAUUGAGAAGAAAAGUGCAAUAAAAACGUAAUUGGAAGAGAA